CCUGCAUCCAGGAGAAUGUCAACUGCAGCGCUUGGAAGAUGGUUCAAACUGUGCCACCUCUAAGCCACAAGAGUGCUGGCAGUGGUAGAUUCACUGCAUGAAGAAAAAUAUGUUCAGAUUUGCAAGUUAAACCCCAAAUCUUGAGACCAGAGAAUACUCAAAUAACCAGUGUCGAGGUCAACAAAAUUUUCUAAAAGACCAUACCUCAGACCAUUAGUUAAAUUACUAUUUAACCGCGUAUGUGUCCUACACAUAUUUGUAAAUAGGUACCAAGGUACAAUCCGCCAAAUAUGAAAUAUAUUUAGAAAAGGGCAUACACAGGUAAGACACGUGCAUCCUAACCUAAAACACGUUAAGAACAUCGAUGGAAGCAGAGAUAAAAGUACUCACUAUUUCCACACUGGUGGUAGCUUCUUUGUCUUCUUGUAAUAACGGGCAAGACGGUGAAUUCUGCUCUCAACCAAGAUUAACCUAAACUUGGAAUCCUUGUCUUUCCUGUUCC
Molecule: long non-coding RNA, 502 nt
Filed under: Gossypium barbadense (sea-island cotton)
Lineage: Eukaryota; Viridiplantae; Streptophyta; Magnoliopsida; Malvales; Malvaceae
Description: long non-coding RNA (GBAR_LNC023058)
Source: RNAcentral